RNAcentral lists this ribosomal RNA (253 nucleotides) under uncultured bacterium. Its description in RNAcentral is "partial 16S ribosomal RNA". It matches the Rfam family "Bacterial small subunit ribosomal RNA", at positions 524 to 776 of the family's 1533-position model. The record is from RNAcentral.
UACGUAGGUGGCAAGCGUUGUCCGGAUUUACUGGGUGUAGAGGGCGUGUAGCCGGGCUGACAAGUCAGAUGUGAAAUCCGGGGGCUCAACCCCCGAACUGCAUUUGAAACUGUUGGUCUUGAGUAUCGGAGAGGCAGGCGGAAUUCCUAGUGUAGCGGUGAAAUGCGUAGAUAUUAGGAGGAACACCAGUGGCGAAGGCGGCCUGCUGGACGACAACUGACGGUGAGGCGCGAAAGCGUGGGGAGCAAACAGG